AGAGUUUGAUCAUGGCUCAGAACGUACGCUGGCGGCACGCCUAACACAUGCAAGUCGAACGAAGUAGCAAUACUUAGUGGCAGACGGGUGAGUAACAUGUGGGUAUCUGCCCUUUGGCCUGGAAUAACACGAGGAAACUUGUGCUAAUACCGGAUAAGUCUUUACGGAGAAAGCUUUAUGCACCAUUGGAUGAGCCCGCACUUGAUUAGUUUGUUGGUGGGGUAAUGGCCUACCAAGACUGUGAUCAAUAGCUGAUUUGAGAGGAUGAUCAGCCACAUUGGGACUGAGACACGGCCCAAACUCCUACGGGAGGCAGCAGUGGGGAAUCUUGCACAAUGGAGGAAACUCUGAUGCAGCGAUGCCGCGUGAGUGAAGAAGGCCUUUGGGUUGUAAAGCUCUUUCGUCGGGGAAGAAAAUGACUGUACCCGAAUAAGAAGGUCCGGCUAACUUCGUGCCAGCAGCCGCGGUAAUACGAAGGGACCUAGCGUAGUUCGGAAUUACUGGGCUUAAAGAGUUCGUAGGUGGUUGAAAAAGUUGGUGGUGAAAUCCCAGAGCUUAACUCUGGAACUGCCAUCAAAACUUUUCAGCUAGAGUAUGAUAGAGGAAAGCAGAAUUUCUAGUGUAGAGGUGAAAUUCGUAGAUAUUAGAAAGAAUACCAAUUGCGAAGGCAGCUUUCUGGAUCAUUACUGACACUGAGGAACGAAAGCAUGGGUAGCGAAGAGGAUUAGAUACCCUCGUAGUCCAUGCCGUAAACGAUGUGUGUUAGACGUUGGAAAUUUAUUUUCAGUGUCGCAGCGAAAGCGAUAAACACACCGCCUGGGGAGUACGACCGCAAGGUUAAAACUCAAAUGAAUUGACGGGGACCCGCACAAGUAGUGGAGCAUGUGGUUUAAUUCGAAGAUACGCGCAGAACCUUACCAACACUUGACAUGUUCGUCGCGACUUUAAGAGAUUAAAGUUUUCGGUUCGGCCGGACGAAACACAGGUGCUGCAUGGCUGUCGUCAGCUCGUGUCGUGAGAUGUUGGGUUAAGUCCCGCAACGAGCGCAACCCUCACUUUUAGUUGCCAUCAUUAAGUUGGGCACUCUGAAAGAACUGCCAGUGAUAAGCUGGAGGAAGGUGGGGAUGACGUCAAGUCCUCAUGGCCCUUACGUGUUGGGCUACACACGUGCUACAAUGGUAUCUACAACAGGAAGCAAGACUGCGAAGUUAAGCAAAUCCUUAAAAGAUACCUCAGUUCGGAUUGCACUCUGCAACUCGAGUGCAUGAAGCUGGAAUUACUAGUAAUCGUGGAUCAGCGUGCCACGGUGAAUGCGUUCCCGGGUCUUGUAGACAC
This 1335-nucleotide ribosomal RNA is filed under the name uncultured bacterium. RNAcentral's name for it is "bacterial SSU rRNA". It matches the Rfam family "Bacterial small subunit ribosomal RNA". The record is from RNAcentral.